GUUUAUGUGGUACCCGUAAGGGCAUAUCCACGUCGGGUCUCGCCGUAAAAAGCGAGACUGUCUGAAAACCCUUGAAUACAAAACUUUGUUGCUUUGGCGGGCCGCCUCUCGAGGCGUCGGCUCACGCUGACCGUGCCCGCCAGAGGCCCGAAACUCUACUGUCUUUGACGUCUGAGUACUAUGUAAUAGUUA
This 192-nucleotide unclassified non-coding RNA is filed under the name uncultured Leotiomycetes. RNAcentral describes it as "sequence contains ITS1". Lineage: Eukaryota; Fungi; Ascomycota; Leotiomycetes. The record is from RNAcentral.